Pogona vitticeps (central bearded dragon) is the source of this 429-nucleotide non-coding RNA. NCBI's taxonomy places the organism in Eukaryota, Metazoa, Chordata, Lepidosauria, Squamata, Agamidae. The record is from RefSeq and is a predicted model, not a curated record.
UAGAAAUUACUUUAACUGACUUACUUUAGUUGAAGCCUCAUGGUGCAGUGGCUAAACUGCAGUCAAAACUCUGUUCAUGAUCCAGCUCCAGGUUCACUCGACCUUCCAUCCUUCCAAGUUGUUUGAUUCAUUUGGAUUAAGAGGGUUGGUGGUACUUAAAACCAGGCCUUGCCUUGACCAUAUACCCAGAAGCCUGUAUGUUCUAUUUAUCAAGAGAGCAGAUAUCUGAAAGAACUUGAAAAUGAAAGACAGCACUCCAGAAGAACCCCAAACAAAAGCAAACCGAAAGUCCCUCCCAUCAGCUGUUUUAGGGUUCAUCCUUUCCCAAGGUGGGGAGAUCCGUGUGUAUUUGUGUGUGUUUGUGCAAGCAUUGGGUGUUUAGAUAAAGCACUGGCAAAGAUCUGGAGGAAGGUAAUUCAGAGGUAAACA